AACGCUAGCUACAGGCUUAACACAUGCAAGUCGAGGGGUAACAAGAGGAAAGCUUGCUUUUCUUGUUGACGACCGGCGCACGGGUGAGUAACGCGUAUCCAACCUGCCUAUAACUAGGGAAUAACCUUGCGAAAGUAAGACUAAUACCCUAUGAUUUCCUUUGAUGACAUCAGAUUAGGAAUAAAGAUUUAUCGGUUAUAGAUGGGGAUGCGUCUGAUUAGCUUGUUGGCGGGGUAACGGCCCACCAAGGCAACGAUCAGUAGGGGUUCUGAGAGGAAGGUCCCCCACAUUGGAACUGAGACACGGUCCAAACUCCUACGGGAGGCAGCAGUGAGGAAUAUUGGUCAAUGGGCGGAAGCCUGAACCAGCCAAGUAGCGUGCAGGAUGACGGCCCUAUGGGUUGUAAACUGCUUUUAUACAGGAAUAAAGUUAGCCACGUGUGGUUAUUUGUAGGUACUGUAUGAAUAAGGACCGGCUAAUUCCGUGCCAGCAGCCGCGGUAAUACGGAAGGUCCAGGCGUUAUCCGGAUUUAUUGGGUUUAAAGGGAGCGUAGAUGGAUUUUUAAGUCAGUUGUGAAAGUUUGCGGCUCAACCGUAAAAUUGCAGUUGAUACUGGAAGUCUUGAGUACAGAUGAGGUAGGCGGAAUUCGUGGUGUAGCGGUGAAAUGCUUAGAUAUCACGAAGAACUCCGAUUG
RNAcentral lists this ribosomal RNA (694 nucleotides) under uncultured bacterium. RNAcentral's name for it is "bacterial SSU rRNA". It matches the Rfam family "Bacterial small subunit ribosomal RNA", at positions 32 to 715 of the family's 1533-position model. The record is from RNAcentral.